AACCUUUCGAUUGUAACUGGGACAAUUUGCAUAGUGAUUCCCUUUCAGAGCCUUCCCGGGCCCGUAACGAGCGCAGGCAGCUAUUCAAAUGCAAGUUGCGUUCCCAAACGCGCGGCCGGCCUGAGCCAAAGCCAGCGGCUCGGCGGACGCCGGGCGAGCCGAGAGCGGCGCUCGGGUUCUGGGGUCACCUCCCUUCUCCGGGCUCCUCCCGGGCUCUCCGGUUCCUGAAUUAGCCGUUCGUCCACGGCUACAGACGCGUGUGUGCCAGCGAGCCAGCGCGGCGAGGGAGGGGACUGAGCCCUACCGGGAUCAAAGCUGGAGCCGAAGGAGAGGCGAAGCCGCCCAAAACCUUGUCGCAUGUCCCCCAGCAACCCGCCCGCGACAUCCGCCAACGCCAAGGCGCGCAGACAGACUCGCCCUUCGCCAUAGCAUGUAGCCACAGCAAAUUAUUGCUCAUUUGAUACCCAGAAUUCUAUUGACCACGGCUUUCGUCGGAGAGAGAAUUCUAACUACGGGCUCCUCCAGGCUCAGAACUGAGGUUGGAAACAAGCGAAUCCAGCCCUGACCAGCAGGAACGGAUGGAGAUGUGACAUGGAGACACGUGGGCAGGCAUAGAAACCUGCUUUUUACUCUGCCUGCUCUGCCCUCCCCCCAAUUCGGGGGUGGGGGAAGUUGACCCCUUUGGAAUAGAUUUGCUCACUUGGAAGGCUGGAUGUUCGUUUGGCAUGUUCUUUCCGGCUCUAACCAGGAUGAGGAAGAAAAGGAGACAAUGGAAGAUUGCUCCUCAGGCUAUUGGUCAAAGCUGGCCCAAGGUGGAACUGCCUGAAGAAACACUGAACAAAAGAUUUCUUGACUUUGCUAUAUGAAUAUCAUCUCCUAAAUUUCCACCCCCUCUCACUCUUUCAAAGACUGUACAGCAUUACAGAGUGGCUAGGGAGGAGUCGGCAUUCUGAGAUCUGAGUCUGGCUGGCAGUUGACAACCGGCCUCCAUGACAAGAGCCAUGUUCAACCGUGUGGCCAAGGCGCCUCUGCAUAGGAGGCACCACAAAGACCAGAGAAUAUCUCAUAUCUGACCUUUGAGCCUGGAACUCAUGGCUCCAGGGUUGCUGGGGAGAGGUUGCUUCUCCCCAAAAUGAGGCUGGAGAAGACUUUGCCCUGGAGGGCAGCGGGAAAGGCCAGGUGGGUUCCUCCAGAAGCUGGUCUAGGAUUUUGCCUUACAGUUUGCAAGGAGUUGAUGCUGCACCCAAGUAGGAGACCCAAAGGCUUGCCCUGCCAAUGCCCAUCUCCUUCCUGGCCUAGAGAGGGGCCCACACCUCACCUGCCUCACCGCCUCUAUCUGGGAGAAAGCCACCCCAACUCAAAAGAGAGCAAGUCCACCUGGGUCAGACCACAGAACCUGUCAGACUUCCAAGGAGCCAGCAAUUCAUACCCUACUCUUCCUUCAGUCCUGACACCUGGAGCGUUUAUGGAGGAGAUGGCUGGCAGGAGAUGCAUUUCUACAAAUACUAGGAGCUAAAUAAACCCUCCAGGCUGGUUUCCAGACAAGCAACAGGAACAACAAAAAGAAGCAAUUAAAGAUUUUUCUAAAUGAGUCCCAGCGUGUGCCGCCUGGCUCUGAACCUGAAGGUGUAUUUAAGCUCUAAGGGACCUGGCUGGGUAGCUUUUCUUUCUUUCUUUCUUUCUUUUUUCCUAGUGGUACUGCUAAAUGCCUGUGAAGCCACGUUGUCUCAGAACAAGGCAGUGGAAAUGUAGGCGUGGGCACUGUAGACAACGUUCACAGCCUCGAGUGUGGGAGAAGUGGAGAAGCUGCGGUAGAUUUGGGACACUCAGCUUGAAGAUGAUGGAAGCGUGGAGGGAGAUUCAUGGUGGCUCUUUCGGUUUUCUUUUUCCUGUAGAUUUUAACACAAACAAAACCCGGCUGUUGAUGCAAUCGUAGCAUGUUCAGUAUAGUAUAUUCCUCAAGUAUACUCACAGCCGCUACACGUGAAAACAAUCUAGCCUAGGCUGGUGUGGAAACAGACAAACACGUUGCUGAUCCCAGCACAAGCUCUGAAAACAAAAACAAACAAACAAACAAGCAAACAAAACCCCACACACUGACAGGGAAGAGGAGACUGACUCCAAGCAGUCCUUCCUAGACGGGUAGGUGGCUGAGUGCUGGGGCCUUUGAGUCCAAAGAAAGCAAUCUAGAUCUCCCUGAACUGAGAGUUACCUUGGCAAACAAGACUUGAGACCUGGGGUGAGGUCAUAUUGGGGUCACCCAGCCCGCCUUUGGAGCCACGUCUGAGCUGAGAACUUCUAAGCUGGACUCAGUUGCUUCCGACUGGAGAUUGGGAAAUCUCUUUCCCUGGCUUGUGGAGCGGCAGUCAAGUCCUGAGUUAGGAUGCCGCCACCUCUCCGGGGGAGGUGGGUGGGGGCUCCUGGCCGUAGCACUGCACUUCCCAGCUGCCUUAACCCCACCCCCACCCCACCCCCACCCCGUGUUGCCAGGUAAAUGAAACACAAAAGAGCUCAAUAGUAAAUUAUUUUGUUCAGCCUUCUGUCUUUUUAUGAAAAUAAAAGCCAACACUUUGUCAUUUUUAAUCGCAUAAGCAGACAAUAAAUCUAAUUUCGAUAUUGAUUUUUUUUUCUAGAAUCAAGUGAUUUUUUUUUCUUUUGCAGUCUGUUGUGUUUCCUUUCUGAAAGGCUCAUUGCUUGUGGACCCUGUGGUGACGAGGCCCGUGGAUCCUGUGUUUGUGUGCGGGAACGGGGGCAGGCGCCUCUGAAACACGAAGUUCGCUGGGGACCUGAAAAGAGAUUUUUUUUUUUCCUCAGUAGCAGGAAGUUUGGCUUUGGUCUAACUCUCCGGAGAUCGGUUUCACCUUAACCACCUGAAGUAGAACGAAGGCUCAUCUGGAUAGUUGAGUGGUUACAGCUUCUGAGAUUCGUUUUAGUUUUCCCUUUAAUUAACAAAAUAAAGUAAAAUACAAAAAAUAAUAAUAAUCACGGAGAAGUCUUGCUGAUAUCAGGAAUUCGACGUGACACUGCGGG
This is a long non-coding RNA of Psammomys obesus (fat sand rat), 3030 nucleotides long. RefSeq lists it as uncharacterized. The record is from RefSeq and is a predicted model, not a curated record. NCBI's taxonomy places the organism in Eukaryota, Metazoa, Chordata, Mammalia, Rodentia, Muridae. The transcript is spliced from 3 exons.